RNAcentral lists this transfer RNA (86 nucleotides) under Bacteroidales bacterium. RNAcentral's name for it is "tRNA-Leu". It matches the Rfam family "tRNA". From Rfam's summary of the family: Transfer RNA (tRNA) molecules are approximately 80 nucleotides in length. Their secondary structure includes four short double-helical elements and three loops (D, anti-codon, and T loops). Lineage: Bacteria; Pseudomonadati; Bacteroidota; Bacteroidia; Bacteroidales. The record is from RNAcentral.
GCUCUGGUGGUGGAAUAGGUAGACACGCGGGACUUAAAAUCCCGUGGCCCGAAACGGCCGUACGGGUUCGAUUCCCGUCCGGAGCA